RNAcentral lists this ribosomal RNA (759 nucleotides) under Alteromonas ponticola. RNAcentral's name for it is "Alteromonas sp. MYP5 partial 23S ribosomal RNA". It matches the Rfam family "Bacterial large subunit ribosomal RNA", at positions 1 to 721 of the family's 2925-position model. The record is from RNAcentral. Lineage: Bacteria; Pseudomonadati; Pseudomonadota; Gammaproteobacteria; Alteromonadales; Alteromonadaceae.
GUUGUAUGGUUAAGUGACUAAGCGUAUACGGUGGAUGCCUUGGCAGUUAGAGGCGAUGAAGGACGUGUAAGUCUGCGAAAAGCUGUGGUGAGCUGACAAAACGCAUUUGAGCCACAGAUGUCCGAAUGGGGAAACCCACCUGUACCUCUAACCUACUUUAACGUUGUCGUUUACGACAACGGUCAAAGCCAACUAUGACAAAAUGCAUAGUGGUAAGAGGUAAGUUAGAGGUACAGGUAUCGUUGCAUGAAUACAUAGUGUAACGAGGCGAACGAGGGGAACUGAAACAUCUAAGUACCCUUAGGAAAAGAAAUCAAUUGAGAUUCCCCUAGUAGCGGCGAGCGAACGGGGAACAGCCCUUAAGCUGUAUAGAAUUUAGUGGAAUCCUUUGGGAAGAGGAGCGAUACAAGGUGAUAGCCCUGUACACGAAGAAAUCUUUACAGUGAAAUCGAGUAGGUCGGGACACGUGUUAUCUUGACUGAAUAUGGGGGGACCAUCCUCCAAGGCUAAAUACUCCUAACUGACCGAUAGUGAACCAGUACCGUGAGGGAAAGGCGAAAAGAACCCCUGUGAGGGGAGUGAAAUAGAACCUGAAACCGUAUACGUACAAGCAGUGGGAGCACCUUCGUGGUGUGACUGCGUACCUUUUGUAUAAUGGGUCAGCGACUUAUAUUUGGUAGCGAGGUUAAGCGAAUAGCGGAGCCGUAGCGAAAGCGAGUGUUAACUGCGCGAAUUAGUUGCCAGGUAUAGACCCGAAAC